This 450-nucleotide ribosomal RNA is filed under the name uncultured Glomeromycotina. RNAcentral's name for it is "SSU rRNA". It matches the Rfam family "Eukaryotic small subunit ribosomal RNA", at positions 569 to 1024 of the family's 1831-position model. Lineage: Eukaryota; Fungi; Glomeromycota. The record is from RNAcentral.
AGCAGCCGCGGUAAUUCCAGCUCCAAUAGCGUAUAUUAAAGUUGUUGCAGUUAAAAAGCUCGUAGUUGAAUUUCGGGGUUAGUAGAUUGGUCGUGCCACGGGUAUGUACUGGUCUUACUGAUUCCUCCUUCCUGAUGAACCGUAAUGCCAUUAAUUUGGUGUUGCGGGGAAACUGGACUGUUACUUUGAAAAAUUAGAGUGUUUAAAGCAGGCUAACGCUUGAAUACAUUAGCAUGGAAUAAUGAAAUAGGACGUUCGAUCCUAUUUUGUUGGUUUCUAGGAUCGACGUAAUGAUUAAUAGGGAUAGUUGGGGGCAUUAGUAUUCAAUUGUCAGAGGUGAAAUUCUUGGAUUUAUUGAAGACUAACUACUGCGAAAGCAUUUGCCAAGGAUGUUUUCAUUAAUCAAGAACGAAAGUUAGGGGAUCGAAGACGAUCAGAUACCGUCGUAGU